ACGGGUGAGUAAUACAUCGGAACGUGCCCGAUCGUGGGGGAUAACGGAGCGAAAGCUUUGCUAAUACCGCAUACGAUCUACGGAUGAAAGCAGGGGACCCUCGGGCCUUGCGCGAACGGAGCGGCCGAUGGCAGAUUAGGUAGUUGGUGGGAUAAAAGCUUACCAAGCCGACGAUCUGUAGCUGGUCUGAGAGGACGACCAGCCACACUGGGACUGAGACACGGCCCAGACUCCUACGGGAGGCAGCAGUGGGGAAUUUUGGACAAUGGGCGAAAGCCUGAUCCAGCAAUGCCGCGUGCAGGAUGAAGGCCUUCGGGUUGUAAACUGCUUUUGUACGGAACGAAAAGCCUCGGGAUAAUACCCCGGGGCCAUGACGGUACCGUAAGAAUAAGCACCGGCUAACUACGUGCCAGCAGCCGCGGUAAUACGUAGGGUGCAAGCGUUAAUCGGAAUUACUGGGCGUAAAGCGUGCGCAGGCGGUUAUGUAAGACAGAUGUGAAAUCCCCGGGCUCAACCUGGGAACUGCAUUUGUGACUGCAUAGCUAGAGUACGGUAGAGGGGGAUGGAAUUCCGCGU
This 576-nucleotide ribosomal RNA is filed under the name uncultured bacterium. Its description in RNAcentral is "bacterial SSU rRNA". It matches the Rfam family "Bacterial small subunit ribosomal RNA", at positions 102 to 674 of the family's 1533-position model. The record is from RNAcentral.